Molecule: long non-coding RNA, 1650 nt
Organism: Manis pentadactyla (Chinese pangolin)
Lineage: Eukaryota; Metazoa; Chordata; Mammalia; Pholidota; Manidae
Exons: 2
Source: RefSeq, a predicted model, not a curated record
CAUCUUUCUGUUGUACAACACAGGCUACGUGUAGGCAAGCUGGGAAGAAAAUGAGAGACAAAGGCCCAUGUUUAACUGUAAAUAUAGAAUGCCUGGACACAGAACUACAGGACUUCUCAGCCUUGGCACUACCGACAUUGUGGGUUGGACACAUCUUGAGCCCGCCCUGUGCACUGCGGGAUGCGCAGCACCCAGGCUUCUCCCCGCUGAAGGCCAGCAUUACCCCACCCCAGCCGUGACCACCAAACCCUCUCCAGCACUGCCAAAGAGCCCUGGGCAUGAAAUUCCCCAGCCAGAACCAGUGACCUAGCUCUGGCCUGCCGGCCACACUGGAUCUCGGAGGACAGGGUUGCUGGGGGCCAAGUGGCUAGUGAGGAGACUGCUGUGGCCAACCUGGGCAGAAACGAGAAGAUGGCUCUGAGACUACCGAAGGACAACCAAAGAGAAGGCACAACAGGUAUUGGGUACCAAGUAGUUGUAGGUACUGAGGGAGAUGAAAAAGCCCAACUGCCGGCUCCCUAAGGGACCUACUUAUGCUCUUCACCAAGCUAGCAGAGACACUAAAAGGAGCACCUUUUUGACAAAGUGAUGAAUUCAGUCCUGAUCACAAGUCUCAGGUACUAGUAAGAUGCCAAGUGCUGCUAUCUAAAAGGCAGGUGGAUAUAAACCACUGCUCAGGAGCAAAAUCUUGGUUAAAGAAAUUUUAAUGUUUCAACACAGAAGAGACAGUAGAAGUCCUGGGGCCCAGGGACACAACCCAGGAAGAACAAAGACAGCAGGGACAAAGACACGGCCCAUUCCCUCCGUCCCACCCACGCAGAUCCCAGCACUCCUUCCUGCUGACCCCAGAUGCCACUUCACAAUCCUUCCAAAUACAGUGCUUCCAGGGAGCCUCUAAUAUUACAAAAGUGUACGUAUAACCUAUUUGCCACCCCUGAUGUAAGAAGGCUGAGAAACACUAACAUUUAAGGAAUAACUGAAAAAAGAGAAACCAGUGAAAAUAGUCUGAACUGGUAAAAGAAUGAGGGGAAAAAUCAAGAGGAUAAUGUUACAGAAAUCAAGAGAAGAAAGGGAACAGAAACUAGUAAGUGCCUAACACAUGGCAGGCAGUAUUUGGUGCUCUACAAGAUAUCUCGUUUAAUUCUUGCCACAGCUCUGCAUGGAGUCAUUAGUAUCCUCAACAUUUUAUAAUUAAGGAAACGAAUUCAGAAAUAUUAGGUAAUCCUCCCACAAUUGUAAAGGCAGCAAAGUUUAAACCUAGGACUAACAGCUCCAAAGAGUGUGUUCUAACCCGUUAUAGUUCUGCCUUCCACAGAUAGAAUGGUAGUCAAUUUCUCCCUCCAGCAAGGCAUUAAGGACCACAGAAGCUCCUUUACUGAACCUCUGAAGGGUUAACUGAGCUUAGAAAAUAAAAGACAGGCCCAGUUAUUUUACAACUGAUAUUAGCAGAUUUAACUCUGAACUUUGCCCCCUACAAAAAAAGUUCUAUUCACACACAGGUUAAAAUUAUUUCAAAUAAUUUCAAAAGAAAACUACCAAAGAAGGGGACUGGGGGGACAAAAAUCCCAAUUUGUAACAGUUGCAGUUCAUAUUAUUGAAAGUGCACAUGAAAGGAUUACUCUAUCACUUCAUGGAACAUAAAAACAUAAA